This 393-nucleotide ribosomal RNA is filed under the name uncultured bacterium. RNAcentral's name for it is "partial 16S ribosomal RNA". It matches the Rfam family "Bacterial small subunit ribosomal RNA", at positions 523 to 918 of the family's 1533-position model. The record is from RNAcentral.
AUACGGAGGAUGCGAGCGUUAUCCGGAUUUAUUGGGUUUAAAGGGAGCGUAGGUGGGAUAUUAAGUCAGCUGUGAAAGUUUGGGGCUCAACCUUAAAAUUGCAGUUGAUACUGGUUUCCUUGAGUACGGUACAGGUGGGCGGAAUUCGUGGUGUAGCGGUGAAAUGCUUAGAUAUCACGAAGAACUCCGAUCGCGAAGGCAGCUCACCGGGCCGGAACUGACACUGAUGCUCGAAAGUGCGGGUAUCAAACAGGAUUAGAUACCCUGGUAGUCCACACAGUAAACGAUGAAUACUCGCUGUUUGCGAUACACGGUAAGCGGCCAAGCGAAAGCGUUAAGUAUUCCACCUGGGGAGUACGCCGGCAACGGUGAAACUCAAAGGAAUUGACGGGG